ACUAAUUGAGUAUACCUGCUGUAUGCUAAUAGAUAAAGCAGAUUGGUACCACGCCGCUGCCACAAUACUACUCGCCGAUGAUCUGACAUUAUAUUCUGAAAUAACUAAUCAAGUAUCAGCAGAUACCAAAAUCUAAAAGGUAUAGCAGAUACUAGAGGAGAGAUCAACUGACAUUAUUAUAAUCUUAAACAAGUAAUCAAAAAAGUAUCAGUAGAUACUAGUAGAAUCUGAAAAGUAUCAGCAGAUACUAGAGGUGUUGAAGAACCGAACGAUGCAGGCACCGGAUCUCGUAGACACCGGCGCGUGGACUCCGGCAUGGAGCUGUUCGAUGGGGGUAAAGCAUGGACUCCGGUGUGCUCGCGUAGCCAGGCACGCCCUGUCUCCCUGGCUGAGCAUCACCCCUCAAUCGCCACCAGCUCUUCCAGAUCUGUGUGGCGCGCCGUGGACGUGGAAGAGGAUGAACUCUAGCCCAACGUAGAGGGCGACGAGGAGGCCACAGGCCUCGGCACGAACGCGAACAGUGUCAUCGCCGGUGGUGGCAUGGGGCCGAUGAGGAGGCCGUGCGCACGGAGUCGCUUGCCGCCGCCGCUUGCGGGGUCGGAGCCGGGAGGAGAGAGGCGCUGCUCGUUAUUGAAAUAGUCGGCGACUCGGCGUAUAUCAGACGGCACGGAAACCAUAUAUCCUCUAUCGGGUCUAUCAUUUAUGGACCCGCUAAGAGUGAGCGAAGUUUGUUUUGGACGAGGAUUAGCCCGCAUCGGUGGAGAGCUAGACUCGGAAGGAG
This 781-nucleotide long non-coding RNA is filed under the name Sorghum bicolor (sorghum). RNAcentral describes it as "long non-coding RNA (SBIC_LNC015067)". The record is from RNAcentral. Lineage: Eukaryota; Viridiplantae; Streptophyta; Magnoliopsida; Poales; Poaceae.